AAAACCAAUGCCCCUCGGGGCUUUCUGGUGAUUCAUGAUAACUUCACGAAUCGCACGGCCUUGCGCCGGCGAUGGCUCAUUCAAAUUUCUGCCCUAUCAACUUUCGAUGGCAGGGUCUUGGCCUGCCAUGGUUUCAACGGGUAACGGAGGGUUAGGGCUCGACCCCGGAGAAGGAGCCUGAGAAACGGCUACUACAUCCAAGGAAGGCAGCAGGCGCGCAAAUUACCCAAUCCCGACACGGGGAGGUAGUGACAAUAAAUACUGAUACAGGGCUCUUUUGGGUCUUGUAAUCGGAAUGAGUACAAUUUAAACCCCUUAACGAGGAACAAUUGGAGGGCAAGUCUGGUGCCAGCAGCCGCGGUAAUUCCAGCUCCAAUAGCGUAUAUUAAGUUGUUGCAGUUAAAAAGCUCGUAGUUGAACCUUGGGCCUGGCUGGCCGGUCCGCCUCACCGCGUGUACUGGUCCGGCCGGGCCUUUCCCUCUGUGGAACCCCAUGCCCUUCACUGGGUGUGGCGGGGAACCAGGACUUUUAC
RNAcentral lists this ribosomal RNA (532 nucleotides) under uncultured Rosellinia. RNAcentral's name for it is "SSU rRNA". It matches the Rfam family "Eukaryotic small subunit ribosomal RNA", at positions 218 to 755 of the family's 1831-position model. Lineage: Eukaryota; Fungi; Ascomycota; Sordariomycetes; Xylariales; Xylariaceae. The record is from RNAcentral.